UACGUAAGGUGCAAGCGUUGUCCGGAAUUAUUGGGCGUAAAGAGCUCGUAGGCGGUCUGUCGCGUCUGCUGUGAAAACUCAGGGCUUAACCCUGAGCUUGCAGUGGGUACGGGCAGACUAGAGUGCGGUAGGGAGACUGGAAUUCCUGGUGUAGCGGUGAAAUGCGCAGAUAUCAGGAGGAAUACCGGUGGCGAAGGCGGCAUCCUGGACCGACAUUGACG
Molecule: ribosomal RNA, 221 nt
Filed under: uncultured bacterium
Lineage: Bacteria
Description: partial 16S ribosomal RNA
Rfam family: Bacterial small subunit ribosomal RNA
Source: RNAcentral